Molecule: RNA transcript, 2075 nt
Organism: Cucumis melo (muskmelon)
Lineage: Eukaryota; Viridiplantae; Streptophyta; Magnoliopsida; Cucurbitales; Cucurbitaceae
Gene name: D-lactate dehydrogenase [cytochrome], mitochondrial
Exons: 19
Source: RefSeq, a predicted model, not a curated record
GAUUUUAAAAGUAAAAAUACUAAUUCACUCAAACUUCCAUUUUUGGUAAGGUUAUCUCUUCGAGACCAAUCCGACGAGCUUCAAUUCGAAGCUCAGCCCGUGGCUCUUCAAUGGCGGAUCGAGUUCCACAGAUUUCAUAAAAGCAUUCAUUCAUUCAUUCACGUUGAUUUUUGAGAUUGCUUAAGAGUCUCUGAAGCUCGAAACAAUGGCGUUUUCUUCUUGGUUUUCUCGCUUCCGUUCCUCCUCCAACUCCUUAUACCACUCGUUUUUCCGUGGCGCUUCGUUUCAGAAUCUUGGUGCUCAAACAUCUGUCAUUUCCAGAACUUCUUCCUCUCAGAACGGUGGCCGCCGAUUCUUGUUGUGGUCCACCUCCGUGGUUCCUUUCGCUCUUGCUGGUUCGCUUGCGUUUCAGUUUCAGUUUCAGCUCCAGUCCAAUCCGUCGUUCUGUGACGAUUCUGAUAUUCACCAUCGAAAUAUCAGCUUCGGGGGCAAAGAUAGUACCGAGUAUGUUGUCAAAGGCUCACACAAUGACAUUUCGCAAGUGUUUAUUGAUGAAUUGGGAAGAAUAUGUAAAGAUAACAUGACGUUAGAUUAUGAUGAGAGGUACUUUCAUGGGAAACCACAAAAUAGCUUUCACGCAGCAGUUAAUAUCCCUGAUGUGGUUGUCUUUCCCAGGUCUGAAGAGGAAGUUUCUGAAAUAGUAAAAUUAUGUGACCAAUAUAAGGUACCUAUUGUGCCUUAUGGGGGAGCUACAUCUAUCGAAGGUCACACAUUAGCACCUAAUGGAGGGCUUUGCAUAGAUAUGUCUUUGAUGAAUAAAGUUAAAGCACUACACGUUGAAGAUAUGGAUGUAACUGUUGAGCCUGGAAUUGGAUGGAUGGAGCUUAAUGAAUACCUAGAGCCUUAUGGACUAUUUUUUCCUCUUGACCCAGGCCCUGGUGCAACAAUUGGGGGUAUGUGUGCCACACGAUGCUCUGGUUCACUAGCUGUGAGGUACGGUACCAUGCGCGAUAAUGUCAUCAAUCUAAAGGCAGUCCUUGCCAAUGGUGAUGUUGUCAAGACCGCAUCUCGUGCUCGAAAGAGUGCUGCAGGGUAUGAUUUAACCCGUCUGAUGAUUGGAAGCGAAGGAACUCUUGGUGUAAUAACUGAGAUCACUCUGAGACUUCAGAAACUUCCAGAGUAUUCUGUGGUUGCAAUGUGUAAUUUCCCUUCUAUUAAAGAUGCUGCAGAUGUUGCUAUUGCAACUAUGUUGUCUGGUAUACAGGUGUCAAGAAUGGAGUUGUUGGACGAGGUUCAACUGAGGGCUAUCAAUAAUGCUAAUGGAAAGAAUUUACCUGAAACUCCGACACUAAUGUUUGAAUUCAUAGGCACAGAGGCAUAUUCACGUGAGCAAACAAAAAUUGUUCAGCAGAUAGUUUCUGAACACAAUGGCUCAGAUUUUGUCUUUGCUGAAGAUCCAGAAGCCAAAAAAGAACUGUGGAAGAUAAGGAAGGAAGCGCUAUGGGCAUGCUUUGCAUUAGUACCCCAUUUUGAGGCAAUGAUCACGGAUGUAUGUGUUCCUCUAUCUCACCUUGCGGAAUUGAUAUCAAGUUCUAAACGAGAGCUAGAUGCAUCCUCACUCGUUUGCACGGUCAUUGCCCAUGCUGGUGAUGGAAACUUUCACACGGUGAUCCUGUUUGAUCCAAAGGAAGAAGAACAGCGGAAAGAAGCUGAGAAACUCAACCAUAUGAUGGUCUAUAAAGCAUUGUCAAUGGAAGUUCCCAGUUAAAACAUCUGAAGGCGUCAACAUUAGGUCCAAACCUCCCCUAAAACCUUCAAAUUCUGGAAAGGAACAUGCACCGGCGAGCAUGGGGUUGGUACAGGAAAAAUGAAGUACCUGGAAAAGGAACUGGGCUUGGAGGCAUUGAGGACAAUGAAACGAAUAAAGACGGCGUUGGAUCCAAACAAUAUUAUGAAUCCAGGAAAGCUCAUACCUCCCCAUAUUUGUUUCUGAACAAAUCCAUUUUAUGUAUUUAUAUGUCAACGAACUUCUCUUAAAUAAGCAUGUUACUUUAUAAAUGAUGUUUUGAAUUUUA